This 548-nucleotide ribosomal RNA is filed under the name uncultured Bifidobacterium sp. Its description in RNAcentral is "bacterial SSU rRNA". It matches the Rfam family "Bacterial small subunit ribosomal RNA", at positions 147 to 710 of the family's 1533-position model. The record is from RNAcentral. Lineage: Bacteria; Bacillati; Actinomycetota; Actinomycetes; Bifidobacteriales; Bifidobacteriaceae.
CUCCUGGAAACGGGUGGUAAUGCCAGAUGCUCCGCCCCCUCGCAUGGGGGGUCGGGAAGGCUUUUGCGGAAUGGGAUGGGGUCGCGUCCUAUCAGCUUGUUGGCGGGGCGACGGCCCACCAAGGCUUCGACGGGUAGCCGGCCUGAGAGGGCGACCGGCCACAUUGGGACUGAGAUACGGCCCAGACUCCUACGGGAGGCAGCAGUGGGGAAUAUUGCACAAUGGGGGGAACCCUGAUGCAGCGACGCCGCGUGCGGGAUGGAGGCCUUCGGGUCGUGAACCGCUUUUGAUUGGGAGCAAGCGUGAGUGAGUGUACCUUUCGAAUAAGCACCGGCUAACUACGUGCCAGCAGCCGCGGUAAUACGUAGGGUGCAAGCGUUGUCCGGAAUCAUUGGGCGUAAAGGGCUCGUAGGCGGUUCGUCGCGUCCGGUGUGAAAGCCCAUCGCUUAACGGUGGGUCUGCGCCGGGUACGGGCGGGCUUGAGUGCGGCAGGGGAGGCUGGAAUUCCCGGUGUAACGGUGGAAUGUGUAGAUAUCGGGAAGAACACC